RNAcentral lists this long non-coding RNA (1704 nucleotides) under Salmo salar (Atlantic salmon). RNAcentral describes it as "lncRNA (ENSSSAG00000105910.1)". Lineage: Eukaryota; Metazoa; Chordata; Actinopteri; Salmoniformes; Salmonidae. The record is from RNAcentral.
CAGCAUCAUAACAGCUGUCCUUGGUAAAGUAAGCGCGCGCCGGGAACAAAUGUGGCUAACUAGCUAACUCGACUGAGAAGGUCCUACCUGGAGGUUCUAAGUUCACGCAUAACUCCAUUCUCAACCACCUCUAGAGGCAGAAACCUGACCAGCAACUCAAAACGUGGGCAUUCAUUGGACCCAGCCAUAUACAGAACAGGGAGUAGUCGGAGUGAGGCCCAAAGUGAGAGAAUGGAAGACAACCAGACACCCCUGUCCAACCAGCAGCUUGUGCAGCUCAUAAGAUCUUUCAUCCUAGUAGAACAGGGGCAGAGGCAGGAGCCCAGAGCUCUCACUACGGACCUGAAACCGAUACAGGAGGACUUGCACCUGAAGAAGACCAAUGUCUAUAGAUCUAUACCCUACUCACGCCUGGGGUCCAACAGAGACGCACACUGUUACAGAAAGGCAUAUCCACACCUGGUGGUGUUUAAAGUUUCCUGCCAGGAGUGGGGUCAGCUGCUGCUGCAGAACGAGGAGUGGGAGUCUACUCUGGAGCACGCCCUAGUGGCGUGGAGGUACACCAGCGAGCUGCCACAGUGGGACACCAGCAGCCACAACUCGGUGAGGGAACAGUGUUACAUCAUGCUGGCAGCACACUGCAUCACAGCUCUACAGCACUAUUGCCCAGACCCCAGCAAAGCCAUAGAGCUGCACAGGAGGUUUAAAAUGGCACAGCUGCACAGUCAGUUGAUCUAUCCUUGUAUUCAGGAGCUGGAGAGAAGCCUCAGCGAAGCACAGGUUUGUUCCAUGAACACCCGCUGAAAUGCCCAACCUGCUGAAAUGGCCAACACUAAGAUCAGCUGACAACAAUCAGCACGGCUUCCAAGUCUAUGGGGUUGCACUAUUGAACAGCGUAUAUCAGUGGUUGCCAUUCAACUAUGUUUGGUAUCCUUGCCUUGUGUUGCGCUAUUCCCCCUUGCCUUGCCUACAGUAUUCCCCCCUUGCCUUGCCUACAGUAUUCCCCCUUGCCUUGCCUACAGUAUUCCCCCUUGCCUUGCCUACAGUAUUCCCCCUUGCCUUGCCUACAGUAUUCCCCUUGCCUUGCCUACAGUAUUCCCCCUUGCCUUGCCUACAGUAUUCCCCCUUGCCUUGCCUACAGUAUUCCCCCUUGCCUUGCCUACAGUAUUCCCCCUUGCCUUGCCUACAGUAUUCCCCCUUGCCUUGCCUACAGUAUUCCGCCUUGCCUUGCCUACAGUAUUCCCCUUGCCUUGCCUACAGUAUUCCGCCUUGCCUACAGUAUUCCCCUUGCCUACAGUAUUCCGCCUUGCCUUGUCUAAAGUAUUCCCUCAGAGUAAAUACAAGAGAAAGCUUUGAUGAAUUUUGGUAAGCUGUUUUUUAAAUAUGAAUUUAAGCUUUUUGUAUUAAGUUGUUUUGUAAAAUGUGUUUAUUGCCAUUGAACUAUUGAAUGUUAUCAUAAGGAAAUUAUGAAAUGGCCUUUAAAAUGUGAAAUGCUGUCAUAGGGAAAUGAACUGUCCUUUUCACCUAGAUGUUUUAUAUGUGGGGGAUGUUUUUGUAGAUGUGUUGAAAAAUGCCACGAUACAUGAAACAGCUGCCUUAUUUCAACUUGGCUGAAUGCUACCUGUUUUGUAAAUAUUUGUCUAAAAUAACUGUUUUGCACUUAUGUUCUUCAUCCUGGAAACUUGACAUUUUGAUAAAAUAGAA